Suricata suricatta (meerkat) is the source of this 1680-nucleotide long non-coding RNA. RefSeq lists it as uncharacterized. The transcript has 3 exons. Lineage: Eukaryota; Metazoa; Chordata; Mammalia; Carnivora; Herpestidae. The record is from RefSeq and is a predicted model, not a curated record.
GGCCAGUCCUGGUCAGCCCUUCCUAUGCCUCGAGGAAGGUGUUCUAAUGCGGGAAGAUGGUGGCCCCCACGGCCCUCUGGGAAGGCCACCCCCGUGCUCGGAACCAGCCCGUGUCCUGGGAGCUGGGAGCCACUGCUUGGCCUUCCAGCCUGGGCUUCUGGCCUACAGGCUCCCCUGCGAAACGGGGUCACUGGGUGUGGAGGAAGCCAGGGCACUGUGCCCCCCCAGCCUCAAAUCCGGGGGAGUCACAGCUCCCUGCUCAGGGCCCAGGGGGUGGCCCAGUGACUACAGAGCUAAGGUGCCAUGCAAAUGCAAGGCGCUUGGAAGGUUGCAUCUGACAGGACCCAGGCCCCUCACGACGUGUUACAGCUCAAAGCCUCCCGGCUACGGUGUGCAGCUGCCAUGGUCGCUCAGGAGCCAGGCCCCUCAGUGUGGGGAUGACAGGCUGGGCCCUACCCGGACACCCAGAGCACAGAGGACCUGGAGGCCUCAGGAGAGGGAAGUCAGGGGCAAGUCUCACCCUGUGUCCCAGCAGAGCCAGACAAGCUCAGAGGCAGGAGGCCACAAGAUGACCCAAGUCCCUGCACCCCUGCUCCAGGCGGGGCGGGAAGGGGUCUGUGGGGACACACUCACCCCAUGGGAAUCAGGCAAUCUCUGGCCUUCUCCUUCUCCACCAAGCGUGAAGUGAUAUUCCCAGGGUUCCCUCUGUCGGCCAGGGACAUGGACUCCACCCUGAGGAGGCGGCAGAGCAUGUGGUCACUCUCGAGACCCGCCCAGGGUUACCUGUGCAUCUGGCGAGCGCUGGGAAAUGGCUGGGAGCCCUGGGAAAGCCAGCGGGCUGCUUGGGAACCCUGGGCAGGGCCAGCAGGGCAGAGCUGGGGGUGCAGGGCUGCUCUGUCCACCCUGCCCCCACCCCAGCACAGAGCACUGCACCGUCCACACUCCCUGGCAAGGCUGAACAUCCCCACCACCGCCCUCCUGCCGCCAGCCAAUCAGCAGCUCGCACGGAGAGCCGCCCAGUGCUGGCCGCAGGAGGGGCAACGCCCCCCAGAAGCCCAGGCCCCAGAGGCUGCCACGGCAGAAGAGACAAAUAUUUGAAAAGCCGCAGGUCAAAGAGCAUGCGACGCACAACCAUGGGGGUGAUGACUGCUCGGGGAGCUGUUGGAGCACGUUGACAGCAUCGGUCCCGUGCCAUGUCCCAGAGCGUCAGCUGCUGUUACUACUCCAUUAAAUCUUGUCAACUUCAACAGGACUGCGGCAAUUACCGCAUUUUAGAGAUGAGGACACUUGAGGCCCAGAGAGAACCACAGAAGGAAGCUGAAGUUCUAGACUUUCUCAAAGUACGUGCAUUUUCCAGCCUGACAGGUUUCCAAGAAAGCAAGCUCUCAGAAGCCAACUCCCUUUCCCCCCUGGUGCUGAGAGCUGAGCAGGAUUCCUGGGUGCCCAGAGCCUGGGGCCACUUCUAAGCUGAUUUGUGGGAACCUACCUCCCCCCGCCUUGAGCUGCCUCCGAGGGCUAGAGGGGGACCCUGCAAGCACGGCCUCUGAGAACGAAGGAGAUGCAAAUGAGCUUUACUGGUAGAGGUUGGGCAGAACUGCUCUGGCAGAAAGGAAUUCUUACCCACAAGCCAUGCCAAUGUCAUAAGACCCAUUUCUGAUGCCACCUGCAACAAAAGCAUUU